AUGGGAAGGAGAAAGCCUUUCCACAGCUGUCUUUUUGGCGGCGCUGACAUCCGGUGGCAGGUCGGCGUGGCUCGGAGAAGGAGGGGAAAGCGUCGAGGAUCCCAUUUUCCGCCAUGGCUUGGGAAGGGUUGCCGUGGGCCCUGACGUCGGAUACUCGGUAAGACAUUAAUAAUAUCGGCAGAGACGGGGGGACCUGUACGGCUUUGGGAGGAUGUUUAAG
This 220-nucleotide long non-coding RNA is filed under the name Setaria italica (foxtail millet). RNAcentral describes it as "long non-coding RNA (SITA_LNC002323)". Lineage: Eukaryota; Viridiplantae; Streptophyta; Magnoliopsida; Poales; Poaceae. The record is from RNAcentral.